GAUGAACGCUGGCGGCGUGCCUAAUACAUGCCAGUCGAGCGAACGGACGAGAAGCUUGCUUCUCUGAUGUUAGCGGCGGACGGGUGAGUAACACGUGGAUAACCUACCUAUAAGACUGGGAUAACUUCGGGAAACCGUAGCUAAUACCGGAUAAUAUUUUGAACCGCAUGGUUCAAAAGUGAAAGACGGUCUUGCUGUCACUUAUAGAUGGAUCCGCGCUGCAUUAGCUAGUUGGUAAGGUAACGGCUUACCAAGGCAACGAUGCAUAGCCGACCUGAGAGGGUGAUCGGCCACACUGGAACUGAGACACGGUCCAGACUCCUACGGGAGGCAGCAGUAGGGAAUCUUCCGCAAUGGGCGAAAGCCUGACGGAGCAACGCCGCGUGAGUGAUGAAGGUCUUCGGAUCGUAAAACUCUGUUAUUAGGGAAGAACAUAUAUGUAAGUAACUGUGCACAUCUUGACGGUACCUAAUCAGAAAGCCACGGCUAACUACGCG
This 497-nucleotide ribosomal RNA is filed under the name uncultured bacterium. RNAcentral's name for it is "partial 16S ribosomal RNA". It matches the Rfam family "Bacterial small subunit ribosomal RNA", at positions 28 to 507 of the family's 1533-position model. The record is from RNAcentral.